GAUUGCUCUUGCCUUGUCUGCUACAUACCUGUUUGCCUUUGUCUGACCCAUGCCUGUUUCUGACCACGUCUCCUAAUAAAGCUUGCAAAUGGAUCCACUUGUCUCACGUCCUGUUCAGCCCAUAACAGAAUACUUGGCCAUACAAGGAUCCAGCGGCUUUUCUGAGGGACAUUGGCCAGGUCUACUCUAGAGUUUUUACUCUGCAGAAAACUGACGAGCAACCCAA
Molecule: long non-coding RNA, 226 nt
Organism: Cyprinus carpio (common carp)
Lineage: Eukaryota; Metazoa; Chordata; Actinopteri; Cypriniformes; Cyprinidae
Source: Ensembl